RNAcentral lists this long non-coding RNA (640 nucleotides) under Populus tremula. Its description in RNAcentral is "long non-coding RNA (PTRE_LNC000424)". Lineage: Eukaryota; Viridiplantae; Streptophyta; Magnoliopsida; Malpighiales; Salicaceae. The record is from RNAcentral.
CCGCACAAACUAACUGUAAUAAAUAUUUAAUGAUCAAAUAAAAUAGAAAGGCUUUUUAUCGAAAGUUAAGCUAAAAAGAUUAAAAAUUAGGUCUCAAGUGUAUCUAGAUUUAAAAAAAAAAAAAAAAAAAAAACAGAAAAAUGAGAGGAUCAUCCUCGUGUAUUGGAAAACGAUCAAUAUCCUGCAACUUCCCAGCAUUUUCUAAUAUCAAAUCAAAUUGCAAGAUAAUUAUGAAGCAGCAUUUUAGUUUUUUUAUGCAAAUUAGGUCAAAAUCCAGUAGUUUCCCAGCAAUUGAAGCCACAUCUCUGGUCUGUUUUUCGCCCAUUAAAUGAAUAGAUUUACUAGGCACUUUCUUCUAAGGGAAACACAAAAGCACCUCUAUGAUCCCAUCAUCAUUGCCGCAAGAACCAACAUACGAGCGAAACAAACACGCCCCCCAUAGUUUUUGGUGGCAUACUCGGUGUAGGUGAACUGCAAUUUGCCAUCCUCGACGACCCAAAAACUUGUUACAACUUGCACGCGGCUAGAGAGUGAAGCACAUGCACAUGCCCAGUUCAAUUUUUUUUUUUUUAAAAAUAAACAGAAGAAGAGAAAAGAAUCACGGAGGCAAUGCAGAGGCAAGUUUUUAAUUGAACAGGUA